This is a long non-coding RNA of Podarcis raffonei (Aeolian wall lizard), 1276 nucleotides long. RefSeq lists it as uncharacterized. The transcript has 5 exons. Lineage: Eukaryota; Metazoa; Chordata; Lepidosauria; Squamata; Lacertidae. The record is from RefSeq and is a predicted model, not a curated record.
CACAUGAGAGAGGCAUUCCAUUCUGUUGUGACUGUUAUUCCAGUAACUGAUGUUUUUUAACUGCUUUCUGCUUCUCUCUCUGUGUGUGAGGGGCAAUGGCUGCUGAGAGAGGCUUCUUAGGAGAUGCUGUGUUGUGUCAGUGGGAUCUGUCUGAAGUGAAACAGGCAGAGGAAGGAUCGCUAAACAUUAACAGGGAGAAAUCUGUGCAGGAGCCUCUCUGUAAGGAGCAGAGGGAAUACUGCUGAGAUGACCCAUGGCGCUCGAAGUGGACGGCAGAGAAGAUAGCACCUUUUGGCUUCUAAGGCAUCACCUAUCAACCGUGAUAUUUGUAAGUUCGUGAAGAUACCAACAAAUGGUCUGCCCUGUGCAUUUUUCUGAUUUCAACCAUGUAUUAAAUAAACCACAAAAAACGCCACAGGGACAUGCUAGGCAAACGAUGAGCUAACGAGCAUGAAGAUGUCUAGGGAAAAACAAGGAAGAGGAAAAAAAGUUACGGAGAGUCUAUGCAGCAGAAACAAAAUCAUUUUUUUAAAAAAUGGGUGCAGGAGAAAACUAAUGCAAAUCUUGCAUCAUCAGAAUAUCAGCCAUUCACGCAGUUUGCAUUAACUGUACACUUGACCAACAACGACGGCACAAUGAAGGACCCCCCAAAAGGAAUCCAUCUGAAAGGGAGUUAGAGAAGAUGGAUUUGUGUUUUAUUUGGGGGGAGGGGGAAAGAAUAAAGAACCAGUUUCAACAAAUGCAACGUAAGGGGGGUGCUGUGUUGGAGUGGGUUGGGGGAGAAAGAGAGAGAGGAGGAGAAUAGUCCAAGACAACUAAACUUUAAACUAGAUAAUGGAAACUACAAACAGGUUAACCAGACAAAAUACAAACAGGAGGAUAAAAAAGCAUGUAGGAUGUAGAAUUCAACGGUGAAAAAGCACCCAUUGUUGGCACAGAUACUCCAGAGACUACUUCAAAAGGAUCUAGCUAGCAGAGAGAGCUGCUCUUUAGGUAUCCAAUAAGUUAACAAUAGGCAAUAAAUAACUUCCAUUAUUUCUGAGGCAGUAAAAAUUUUUGUAUAAAAAUAGAAAUGCUUUUUACAAAUAAAAUUUACAGGCCUGUGGCUUUCUUUUGUUAUCUAUUAUUAUUAUUAAUUUUUUUUAUCUUUCAAGAAACAUCAAGUAUUGUCACUCUUUUUAUUUAUUUAUUUUAAACCCUGUAGCUUUAGAAACGGAUCUCUAAGUCUUUUUUUUUACACUAAAACUCUAAAAAAAACAAAUCCCCUAAGGACUUU